UAUGUGCAGAACUAUAAUACUUCCUGUUUGUCAGUCAUGGUCUUUGUUAUGUAUAAAGUGGUCUCUGUUUGACUGAAGCACAGAGCAGGGACACCUGUGAGAUCACAUUCCUGAGGUGUGCUGAAUGCCAUUGAAGCUCGCUGACUCCUUGAAUAAGCACCUCAUGCAAACACAUCUUAAAAGAUCAAAAAGCUGCAGGCCGUGAUCUUUCUGAGAGGAUCUGCAGAUGGCUGCCAUUUACCCAGACAGACGAACUCAUGUACAGCAAAAGGAGAGGCAGAGACACCCAGGCUGACAUUUCUACUGUGUGGUUUGAAGGUACAGCGUAAAGCCCAGGGUCUGUACUGUCCUUGGGGUGCUCAUCUGCAAAGGUGAGUAAAAGGCUAAAUGGAUCUAGAAGAAAAAUGACUGCAAAGGACAGAUAAGGACUAUGUUCCUGUGGAUCCGUUUCUACGCAGACAUGAAAAGAGGAUGAAUGCCAGAGGACUGCUGACAUACCAUGUCAUGACAGCCACCUCUGAAAGUGAGAUUAAUUGGCA
This 539-nucleotide long non-coding RNA is filed under the name Zonotrichia albicollis (white-throated sparrow). RNAcentral's name for it is "lncRNA (ENSZALG00000008673.1)". Lineage: Eukaryota; Metazoa; Chordata; Aves; Passeriformes; Passerellidae. The record is from RNAcentral.